UAGAGAAUUAAUAAGGGUAUAUGGUGGAUGCCUUGACACAAAGUGGCGAUGAAGGACGUGGCGUAGCUGCGAUAAGCCUCGGUGAGGUGCCUAGCAACCUUUGACCCGGGGAUUUCCGAAUAGGGAAACCUAUUUGCAUAAAAUGCAAAUGAUUCCAAAUAUAAAUUUUGGAAUAGCAGACCCGCUGAAGUGAAACAUCUCAGUAAGCGGAGGAACAAAAAAAAGAUUUUUAUUCCCUGAGUAGCGGCGAGCGAAACGGGAAGAGCCUAAAUUUGUUAAAAUUUUCGCAAGAAGAUUUUAAUGAACGUUGCAAGAUGGAAAUUUUUCUUAAGUUUUAAAGCUUGAAACUUAAGAUAAGAGUUACAAAUUUGUUGGCUAGUCGAAACCGUUGGAAAGCGGUGCCAAAGAGAGUGAUAGCCUCGUAGACAAAAGUCGGCAAACUCUUAGUUUUUCAUUCUUAAGUACUCCGAGGCCAGACAACCUCGGAGGAAUCCAGGAGUACUAUCUCCUAAGGCUAAAUACACUUUGUGAUCGAUAGUGAACAAGUACCGUGAGGGAAAGGUGAAAAAUAGGCCGUUGAGGCCGGUGAAAUAGAAUCUGAAACCAUAUACUUACAAGGACUCGGAGCCUUACAAUUUCGCAAGAAAUAACGGGUGACGAGGUGCCUAUUGAAGAAUGAGCCAACGACUUUAUUUGCAUUGCAAGUUUAACCUCGCGAAGCGAGGGAAGCGAAGGGAAACCAAGUGUUAAUAGCGCUAAUAGCAGUGCGAGUAAGACCCGAAGCCAAGCGAGCUUGUCCUGGUCAGGAUGAAGGCCGAAGAAAUUCGGCUGGAGGUCCGAACCGGUGAGCCGUUCAACACUCUCGGAUGAACUGGGAUAAGAAGUGAAAAGCUAAUCGAGCUUGGUAAUAGCUGGUUCUCUCCAAAAUAGUUUUAGGACUAGCGUCGGAUAAAUAGAUUUCUGGGGGUAGAGCACUGGAUGAUUUGUAAAGGACGAAAGUUCGACAAAUCAAUCAAACUCCGAAUACCAGAUUUUGUUCUCCGGCAGUCAGACUACGGGGGCUAAGCUCCGUGGUCGCGAGGGAAAAAGCCCUGACCGCCGUCUAAGGUCCCAAAAUGUAUGCUAAGUGUUAAAGAAAGUCUCCAACCAGAGACAAAUAGGAGGUUGGCUUAGAGGUAGCCAUCCUUUAAAGAGUGUGUAACAACUCACUAUCCGAUGGUUGGGGGCGUCUAAAAUUUAUCGGGGCUAAGCAUACUACCGAAGACGCGGAUUCGUUUUUUGUUUACAAAAAACGAGUGAUAGGAGAGCAUUUCCAGCCGCUGUGAAGGUUGACCCGCGAGGGCGACUGGAGCGCUGGGAAGAGAGAAUGUUGGCAUGAGUAAUCACAAAUCAGAUGAGAAAUCUGAUCCCCGAAAAUCCAAGGUUUCCUCCGCAACGAAAAUCGACGGAGGGUUAGGCGGCCCUAAGGCAAUGGCGAAAGCCGCAGCUGAAGGACAGUCGGUUGAUAUUCCGACCUGCCCAUUAAUUAUCGAUGGAGUGACAAAGAAAAUAAAAUCGCGCGCCUUAAUGGUUUGGCGUCAUUAAUAAUAAGAUUGGGCAUCCAGGAAAAUCCGGGUGCAAGCCUUUAGUGGCACCCAAUCGUUUAUCGAAGUAAGGCUAAGUUUUUACUUGGCUAAUGCGAUUGAAGAGUCUUUCAAGAAAACCUUCUAAGAGUUAUGUUAAUGGGCUCCGUACCGUAAACCGCCACAGGUGGGUGAGGCGAGGAGCCUCAGGGGAACGGGUAAUUCUUCGUUAAGGAACUCGGCAAAAAAGCAGACGUAAGUUCGCAAUAUGUCUUGGCUGACGCAAGUCAGCCCGCAGCGAAAGAAUCUCUGGCGACUGUUUACCAAAAACACAGCUCCCUGCUAACUCGUAAGAGGAUGUAUAGGGGGUGACGCCUGACCGAUGCGAGAAGGUUAACGGCGGGAGUGCUCUGACGCAAGUUGGAGUGCCCACUGCCCGAAGCCCUCGUCAAUGUCCGCAGUAACUAUAACUGUGUUAAAGUAGCGCAAUUCCUUUUCAGGUAAGUUCUGAAGCGCACGAAUGGCGUAACGAUCGGAGAACUGUCUCAACGAAGAGCCCGAUGAAAAUGCGAUUCCCGUGAAGACGCGGGGUACUGGCAGUAAGACGAAAAGACCCCGGGAGCUUUACUGCAGCUUGAUAUUGUUUUUAGAACUUUAAUGCGUAGUGUAGUGGGUAGGCUUUGAAGUUUCGCUUUCGGGCGGAAUGGAGCCGACAAUGAAACACCCAUCUUUCGAGUUUUAAAAUCUAAUCUGAACGGCAAAAACGUUCGGAGACACUGUCUGGCGGGCAGUUUUAAUGGGGCGUUAUCCUCCUAAAGAGUAACGGAGGAGUUUAUUAAGGUCGGCUUAGCCCGGAUGGAAAUCGGGCUGGACGCGUAAAGGCAAAAGCCGGCUUAACUGCAAGACUGACAAGUCGCGCAGAUGCGAAAGCAGAACUUAGUGACCCGACGAUUCUUUAUAGAAAGGUCGGAGACACCGGAUAAAAGCUACCCCGGGGAUAACAGGCUGGUGGAGCCCGAGAGUCCAUAUCGACGGCUCCGCUCGGCACCUCGAUGUCGGCUCACCCUAUCCUGGGACUGAAGAAGGCCCCAAGGGUUUGGCUGUUCGCCAAUUAAAAGGGUACGCGAGCUGGGUUCAAACCGUUGAGUUCAUAAACAUAAUUACGGUAAUUGCCGUAAUUACAGUAAUUACUGUAAUUUUUAUGAAUUGAACGGUUUGAAUCCGAGGAUUAUGACAUCAAUCACGGCGGUUAUAGAAAGUAAUUUCUAUAUUCCAAUAGUUUAAUUAAUUUAGCUAACUAAUAUCGGUGGAACCCUAAUUGAUGAUUAGGGCAAUACCGAGGGAAUUCUUUAUAAAUUAAAGAAGCCCGUAGAGACUAAGCGUUAGCCUCCGCCAAAAUUUUGUAAAAAAAUGGGCGGAUGAAGAUAUAGUCCAAUACACUUAGUAAUAAGUGACCAAUAUGCGUGAGACAGGUUGGUCUCUAUCUACUGUCAGCGAUGAAUACUUGAGGGAAGUCGACUCUAGUAAACAAAAUUUGCUACUUUCCGAAGUAAUUCGGAUUGAAAAUUCGGCUAAUAACGGUGAAAUCUUACCAUUUAAUUAUUACAAUCGGUCUUGUGAUAAUUUACUUGAGGACCAAGAAAUGCUAAGAUAAUACCGUGGGAAGUCAAUCUAAAAUCAACUUAGCUUAUAUAGCUGGAUUUCUUGAUGGCGAUGGAAGCUUAAUGCUUCAAAUCAAAAAACGUAAAGAGGGGAAUAUAUCCAAGAGGCGUUUCAUGCUAACGAUUUGUUUUUAUCAAGAUUCGCGCCAUGAUAAGCCCCUUUUAUGGAUUAGAAAAAUUUUGGGAAUAGGUUAUCUUUCCAAAAGAAAAGACGGAAUGUCGGAAUUAAGAAUCAAUGGCUUCCGCCAAACGGAAAAGAUAAUCAAAUCUCUGUCGCCGUUCAUUAAAUUCAAGAAAGUCCAAGCUAAAAUUCUUUUGGCAUCGGCGAAGUUGCUUCAAAAAAGCAAACUAACCGGUAACGAAUUAAAGAGAUUGGUUGAUAAUAUUCUGAAAAUUCAAUCAGAAAAUUACACAACUAAAAGAAAGAAAACCAAAAGAGAAUUGCUAAAAAAUUUAGGUUUGACCCCGUAACGACUGAAUUCCGCCGAUUGGCGGAUGAAGAUAAUAUCAAUUUUGAUAUUAUAAUACGCCGGCCCCGCUAAAAUUUUAUUUUUGUAAAAAUUUAGGCGGGUGAAGAUAUAGUCUGCGCACAUAGUGAUAUGUGAAUUCGUGACGAGAGGACCGAGUUGAACGAACCUCUGGUCUACCGGCUUCAGCACCUGCUGAACCGCCGGGUAGCUAUGUUCGGCCGGGAUAAGCGUUGAAAGCAUCUAAACGCGAAGCCCCUCCCAAGAUUAAGUAUCACUAAAUAAUUUAUUAUUUAGGUGGUCCCCAGAAGAUUACUGGGUUGAUAGGCCUUAGGUGUAAGCUCCGUAAGGAGUUCAGCCGAGAGGUACUAAUAGACCAUCUAUUCUCUACC
RNAcentral lists this ribosomal RNA (4082 nucleotides) under bacterium. Its description in RNAcentral is "23S ribosomal RNA". The stretch from base 1 to 2860 matches the Rfam family "Bacterial large subunit ribosomal RNA". The record is from RNAcentral.